GGUCAUACUUUUCCACAGCUUUCUUGAACUUUUCUUUUUUGCAUUUUCCUAUAGUUUACUAAACAUGUAUAGCUAAAAAGAAUCUAUAAUUAGAGCUUUUUGGAAACAAAGAAACAAAAAGCUCAAGAAAGCUGUGGGAAAACAUGACAA
Molecule: microRNA precursor, 150 nt
Filed under: Capsella rubella
Lineage: Eukaryota; Viridiplantae; Streptophyta; Magnoliopsida; Brassicales; Brassicaceae
Description: MIR396 microRNA precursor family
Rfam family: MIR396 microRNA precursor family
Source: Rfam by way of RNAcentral